This is a long non-coding RNA of Metopolophium dirhodum (rose-grain aphid), 366 nucleotides long. RefSeq lists it as uncharacterized. NCBI's taxonomy places the organism in Eukaryota, Metazoa, Arthropoda, Insecta, Hemiptera, Aphididae. The record is from RefSeq and is a predicted model, not a curated record. The transcript has 3 exons.
AUAUGACUCACGUAUGGUCAUUUAAAAAUAUUUAAAGUAUUUGGAUACGGACAGACAGCGAUCCACAGGUGUUAACAGUGUCAUUAAAAAUUACUUACCGAGAACAAUACUUUAGUAUACUACUUAAUUUUGAGUAUAUAUACCUUUAUUGAAUUUGCUGAACAACAUUUGAUGGAAAAUGGAACAAUAUCAUAGAAAAUUGAUUAACAGCUAUAUGUUGGAUUUAAUAUCGGUUACGUCUGACUUAGAAAAUAUUGUUAACAAACUAUUAGAAGCUACCAUAAUUAAUGAAUGGAUGAAAAAUUAUAUUUUGGAAGAUCAGGAAGAAUACAUUAAAAAAACAAAACUGUACGAAGUAAUUCAGGG